Molecule: ribosomal RNA, 684 nt
Filed under: uncultured Pseudomonadota bacterium
Lineage: Bacteria; Pseudomonadati; Pseudomonadota
Description: bacterial SSU rRNA
Rfam family: Bacterial small subunit ribosomal RNA
Source: RNAcentral
GCUCUUAUGGGUGGCGAGUGGCGAACGGGUGAGGAAUACAUCGGAAUCUACUCUGUCGUGGGGGAUAACGUAGGGAAACUUACGCUAAUACCGCAUACGACCUACGGGUGAAAGCAGGGGAUCUUCGGACCUUGCGCGAUUGAAUGAGCCGAUGUCGGAUUAGCUAGUUGGCGGGGUAAAGGCCCACCAAGGCGACGAUCCGUAGCUGGUCUGAGAGGAUGAUCAGCCACACUGGAACUGAGACACGGUCCAGACUCCUACGGGAGGCAGCAGUGGGGAAUAUUGGACAAUGGGCGCAAGCCUGAUCCAGCCAUACCGCGUGGGUGAAGAAGGCCUUCGGGUUGUAAAGCCCUUUUGUUGGGAAAGAAAUCCAGCCGGCUAAUACCUGGUUGGGAUGACGGUACCCAAAGAAUAAGCACCGGCUAACUUCGUGCCAGCAGCCGCGGUAAUACGAAGGGUGCAAGCGUUACUCGGAAUUACUGGGCGUAAAGCGUGCGUAGGUGGUCGUUUAAGUCCGUUGUGAAAGCCCUGGGCUCAACCUGGGAACUGCAGUGGAUACUGGGCGACUAGAGUGUGGUAGAGGGUAGCGGAAUUCCUGGUGUAGCAGUGAAAUGCGUAGAGAUCAGGAGGAACAUCCAUGGCGAAGGCAGCUACCUGGACCAACACUGACACUGAGGCACGAAA